CCCUUAGAUGUUCUGGGCCGCACGCGCGCUACACUGAUGCAUUCAACGAGUUUCUUCCUGGUCCGAGAGGAAUGGGUAACCUUUUGAAAGUGCAUCGUGAUAGGGAUAGACUAUUGCAAUUAUUGGUCUUCAACGAGGAAUUCCUAGUAGACGUAGUUCAUCAGACUGCAUCGAUUACGUCCCUGCCCUUUGUACACACCGCCCGUCGCUCCUACCGAUUGAAUGCUCAGGUGACCCAUUCGGACUUUCAUCAUGCUGGUUUCCAGUUUUGAUGAAGGAAAGUCUUGCGAACCUUAUCAUUUAGAGGAAGGAGAAGUCGUAACA
RNAcentral lists this ribosomal RNA (324 nucleotides) under uncultured eukaryote. Its description in RNAcentral is "partial 18S ribosomal RNA". It matches the Rfam family "Eukaryotic small subunit ribosomal RNA", at positions 1470 to 1796 of the family's 1831-position model. The record is from RNAcentral.